RNAcentral lists this ribosomal RNA (306 nucleotides) under uncultured bacterium. Its description in RNAcentral is "bacterial SSU rRNA". It matches the Rfam family "Bacterial small subunit ribosomal RNA", at positions 138 to 478 of the family's 1533-position model. The record is from RNAcentral.
ACGGAAUAGCCCAGGGAAACUUGGAGUAAUACCGUAUACGCCCUUCGGGGGAAAGAUUUAUCGGAGAAGGAUUAGCCCGCGUUGGAUUAGGUAGUUGGUGGGGUAAUGGCCUACCAAGCCUACGAUCCAUAGCUGGUUUGAGAGGAUGAUCAGCAACACUGGGACUGAGACACGGCCCAGACUCCUACGGGAGGCAGCAGUGGGGAAUCUUAGACAAUGGGCGCAAGCCUGAUCUAGCCAUGCCGCGUGGACGAUGAAGGCCUUAGGGUUGUAAAGUCCUUUCAGCUGGGAAGAUAAUGACGGUAC